AUACGGAGGAUCCGAGCGUUAUCCGGAUUUAUUGGGUUUAAAGGGUGCGCAGGCGGGAGAUUAAGUCGGCGGUGAAAUUUUGCGGCUCAACCUGAAAACGGCCUUCGAAACUGGUUUCCUUGUGUGUAGAUGAAGGAGGCGGAAUUUGUGGGGUAGCGGUGAAAUGCAUAGAUAUCACGAGGAACUCCGAUUGUGCAGGCAGCUUACUAAACUACUACUGACGCUCAGGCACGAAGGCGUGGGGAUCAAACAGGAUUAGAUACCCUGGUAGUCCACGCAGUAAACGAUGAUUACUAGCUGUUUGCGAUACAAUGUAAGCGGCUGAGCGAAAGCGUUAAGUAAUCCACCUGGGGAGUACGUUCGCAAGAAUGAAACUCAAAGGAAUUGACGGGG
Molecule: ribosomal RNA, 393 nt
Filed under: uncultured bacterium
Lineage: Bacteria
Description: partial 16S ribosomal RNA
Rfam family: Bacterial small subunit ribosomal RNA
Source: RNAcentral